AUCUCAACUAUUUUGACAUAAUUUUAAUUGACAUGUGUGUUUGACAUAAUUUUAAUUGACAUUUUAAUCAUCCUCUCUAUGACGUUCUUCCCCCAAAAGUCCCUCGUCCUUUAAGUGUUAAAUGUUUGUUAAUGUUUGUGUUUAGUCCAUAUUGUAGAUUUUUAUGUAAAUAUGUAGAAUGUAAUAAGAUCAAAUUGUAAUAUUGUUUAUAUAUUUUGUUUAUUAAUAUAUGUUAUUUGUGUUGUUUUAGGUUAAGAACUAACAAAAUAAUAUCAUUUAAUAUUAUAGAUAUAAUAUAAUAGAUUCUCAAAAUUAAAUUUGUCAGCCUUCACCGAACAAUCUCCAUCGUGCCUCCUCCAUCUAUUCGACACUGGCGAGAUAAACAGUGCCCAGUUGGCACGAAUGAAAGCCAUAAAAAAGAAUUGAAUUGAACAUUUAACUGAGAGUCCGAUCGAUGUCACCAAAUCCGGCUGUUGGACGCAGUGAAGAUCGACCGAUUCAAUCUGACGAGCCCAUGACAUGCGACGAAUCUUAAGCUGAAAUAAUCGCCAUUAACUCAAAACUUUGGGUUUUAUGCUGCAUAUCUUAGAUAUGCAACAUAAAAACUAAAGUUUUAAGUAUUUUGAUCCCAUAGUUUAUAAUAAUUUUUAAUUAAAUUACAAAAAAUAAAAUUAAUAAUUAUGUGUAGUGUAAGGAUACAGGAUAUAUUGGGAUAUAUUUCAUCAUUAUCCACCCUUAUUCGGCUCACUGCUGAGCAAAAGUCUCCUCUCAGAAUGAGAGGGGUUAGGCCAAUAGUCCACCACGCUGGCCCAAUGCGGAUUGGCAGACUUCACACACGCAGAGAAUUAAGAAAAUUCUCUGAUAAGCAGGUUUCCUCACGAUGUUUUUCCUUCCCCGUUAGAGACAUGUGAUAUUUAAUUUCUGAAAAUGAACACAAUUGAAAAGUUGAAGGUGCAUGCGCCGGACCGGAUUUUUUUUUUAUUUUUUAUUUUUUUUAAAUAGAGUUGCGCUUGACUACAAUCAUGCCUGGUGGAAAGCAACGAUGAGGGUCUAGGUUGGAGCGCGCUUGCCUAGAAAAUUCAUCCGAACCUACGCCCUCCGCACGGCUAGAUUUGGUAUUGAAUAUUUUUGAUGUAUGACUUUACCUCGUCUAUACCUAGUCCCCUUCAAAAAACGAUUCAAUUUUGUUGGUUGUGAUUCGUCUGAGAUAAUUACAGACGCUAUGGUUUAAUAAAAUAAUAAAAAAACGGAAUGAUAAGAUUAUUGUAUUUAAUUACGCUUCUAAUGUAAUUUUGUAUGUAAAUUUAAUUAUUUACCUUGUUGAAUUUAUAAAAUAGGUGUGCUAGCCUAGGUAAGUAUGUAUUUUUUAUUUUUUUUAAUUAAUCAUAAAAAAAUUAAAAUCAUAAUUAGGAUAAGUUUUAAUAAGUAAUACGGAAUUUUAAAUCAGAUGUUAAUAAGCUUUUUAACUUUUUUUUUUACUAUAACUAGCAGUGAUAUUAGAUACUUUUUAACCGAUUUCCAAAAAGGAGGAGGUCAUUCGGCUGUACGAUUAAGUGUGUUUUUAUAUUAUUUAUGAUUAAUAAAGUUUAAUUAUGGUAAUAAAAUAAAAUUCUUUGUAUUG
Bicyclus anynana (squinting bush brown) is the source of this 1621-nucleotide long non-coding RNA. RefSeq lists it as uncharacterized. Lineage: Eukaryota; Metazoa; Arthropoda; Insecta; Lepidoptera; Nymphalidae. The transcript has 2 exons. The record is from RefSeq and is a predicted model, not a curated record.